This 54-nucleotide transfer RNA is filed under the name Urocitellus parryii (Arctic ground squirrel). RNAcentral describes it as "Spermophilus parryii (Arctic ground squirrel) tRNA". It matches the Rfam family "tRNA", at positions 10 to 63 of the family's 71-position model. From Rfam's summary of the family: Transfer RNA (tRNA) molecules are approximately 80 nucleotides in length. Their secondary structure includes four short double-helical elements and three loops (D, anti-codon, and T loops). The record is from Rfam by way of RNAcentral. RNAcentral also lists the same sequence under 2 other names. Lineage: Eukaryota; Metazoa; Chordata; Mammalia; Rodentia; Sciuridae.
GCUCAUUGGUAGAGCGCUUGCCUAGAAAGCAUGAGGUCCUGGGUUCAUUCCUAG